RNAcentral lists this ribosomal RNA (467 nucleotides) under uncultured bacterium. RNAcentral describes it as "partial 16S ribosomal RNA". It matches the Rfam family "Bacterial small subunit ribosomal RNA", at positions 28 to 507 of the family's 1533-position model. The record is from RNAcentral.
GAUGAACGCUGACAGAAUGCUUAACACAUGCAAGUCGACUUGAAUUUGGGUUUUUAACUCAGGAUUGGGCGGCGGACGGGUGAGUAACGCGUAAAGAACUUGCUUCACAGCUAGGGACAACUUCUGGAAACGAAUGUUAAUACCCAAACUUAUGAUAAUAGGGCAUCCUAUAAUUAUGAAACCUAUACGCGCUGUGAGAGAGCUUUGCGUCCAAUUAGCUAGUUGGAGAGGUAACGGCUCACCAAGGCGACGAUGGGUAGCCGGACUGAGAGGGUGAUCGGCCACAAGGGGAUGGGGGAACGGCCCGUACGGCAUAGGGAAGCAGGAGUGAAAAAUUGUGGAAGAUAGGCCGAGUGUCUGAUGCAGCUAUUCUGAGUGCACGAUGAAGUUUUUCGGAAUGUAAAGUGGUUUCAGUUGAGAAGAAUCAAAUGACGGUACCAACAGAAGAAGUGACGGCUAAAUACGUG